AGGGAAUCUUCCGCAAUGGGCGAAAGCCUGACGGAGCAACGCCGCGUGAGUGAUGAAGGUCUUCGGAUCGUAAAACUCUGUUAUUAGGGAAGAACAAAUGUGUAAGUAACUAUGCACGUCUUGACGGUACCUAAUCAGAAAGCCACGGCUAACUACGUGCCAGCAGCCGCGGUAAUACGUAGGUGGCAAGCGUUAUCCGGAAUUAUUGGGCGUAAAGCGCGCGUAGGCGGUUUUUUAAGUCUGAUGUGAAAGCCCACGGCUCAACCGUGGAGGGUCAUUGGAAACUGGAAAACUUGAGUGCAGAAGAGGAAAGUGGAAUUCCAUGUGUAGCGGUGAAAUGCGCAGAGAUAUGGAGGAACACCAGUGGCGAAGGCGACUUUCUGGUCUGUAACUGACGCUGAUGUGCGAAAGCGUGGGGAUCAAACAGGAUUAGAUACCCUGGUAGUCCACGCCGUAAACGAUGAGUGCUAAGUGUUAGGGGGUUUCCGCCCCUUAGUGCUGCAGCUAACGCAUUAAGCACUCCGCCUGGGGAGUACGACCGCGAGGUUG
Molecule: ribosomal RNA, 549 nt
Filed under: uncultured bacterium
Lineage: Bacteria
Description: bacterial SSU rRNA
Rfam family: Bacterial small subunit ribosomal RNA
Source: RNAcentral